AUCUUCUCUUCCUAACCAGUCAGCCUUUUUUUCUUUUUCCCUUGGUCUUUCAUGUUGAUAACUGGUGAUAUCAAAUAUUCUUACUAAAAAAAGAGACACCCAAAAGUUAGGAGAAUGCCUCCAAAUGUGGGGAAGAUUUAUUAACAAGUGAGUUCACAAGGCAGUGGCUGGACGGCGUGCCAGCCUUCCCAGGUGGAGGCCCCUCAGUGGCGGCAUCUAGAGACCUUUUCCUCCGCUGGGCUCUGUUUCUCCUGGCUCUUUCCUUGGGGAUUCAGUCUUAUAAACACUCCAGCAUCAGGAUGUGAGGGGAGUAAGUGGCCUGUUUCUGUCCGCCAGCCCUACUUCUUGCUUGUGUGUCUGACUCCAGCUACUAGGGCCCACUCAUUUUCCUCCCUGACUUGGGACUUGCUCGUGCAGGUGAGGAAAGGUGUGGACUGGGGCGCUGGUGUCCUGUCCCCAGGCUCAGCCUUCCCCACUUCACUGAUACUCGGUGCCUCCAACUCCGGAGCGGCCGAGUUCUGCUGGGGUUUCCGCUUCUUUCUGUUUUACGCUUAGGAGUCCACAUCCUCGGCCUCACAGUCAGUCACCUCUCCCUUGUCAGAAAAACAAAAAAAAAAAAGAAAGAAAGACUUGACAUCUCCUAUCAGCUGUUCUGUCUUUCCCCCUUUUCUUCAUCGUUAGAAAUUUAUACCUUUUUUUUUCUUUUCUUUUCAGUGGGGUUUCUGGAGGGAAUGAAGAUAAAUUCACGUUUAAUAACAGAAGGUCUCAUGGACGGCUCACUGAAAUCAACAUUUGUCUAAUAUGAACACGGCAAAGACAGAACUGACACACACAGAAUAGAGAGCAAUUAAGCACUGAUCCUUAAAGCAAUCUGAGUUCCGACUAGAGAAAUCUGAACAAAGGAAUUUUUGAGGUAGGCUUCAAACCGAAUGGGACAGAAUGAAUUUAUCCUCUCUUAUCCUUUC
Molecule: long non-coding RNA, 965 nt
Filed under: Capra hircus (goat)
Lineage: Eukaryota; Metazoa; Chordata; Mammalia; Artiodactyla; Bovidae
Description: lncRNA (ENSCHIG00000002179.1)
Source: RNAcentral